RNAcentral lists this small RNA (915 nucleotides) under Pongo abelii (Sumatran orangutan). RNAcentral describes it as "retained intron". Lineage: Eukaryota; Metazoa; Chordata; Mammalia; Primates; Hominidae. The record is from RNAcentral.
AGAAUAUUAAGUGAGUGGAAGAGAGGGGCCUCAUCUGCAGGGUAGCCACACAGUGUUAAUAAGGAUGAGAAUAGUUUUAGUAUUAACUAAAAGUCACAAAAAUUUUAUGAUACUUUUUUAAUGAUACUUUUUGUUUGGUAUACAAAUGACAUAGAGCCAUUUAUAAAAAGCUGAUAUUUCCUUAUAGUUUGACUUUAUUUGGUUUUGUUCUCAUAGAUGUUUUCUCCCAGAUGUCAGAUUCCAAUGGCUUAAUGAUAUUUAGCAAGUUUGACCAGUUUCUGAAGGAAGUUCUGAAGCUCCCAACAGCUGUCUUUGAAGGGCCAUCUUUUGGUUACACAGAGCACUCAGUCCGCACCUGUUUUCCACAGCAGAGAAAGAUAAUGCUAAAUAUGUUUUUAGACAUGAUGAUGGCUGACCCUCCUCCCCAGUGCCUUGUCUGGCUACCUCUCAUGCACAGGCUUGCCCAUGUUGAGAAUGUCUUCCAUCCCGUGGAGUGCUCCUACUGCCGAUGUGAGAGUAUGAUGGGUUUCCGGUACCGAUGCCAGCAGUGCCACAACUAUCAGCUCUGCCAGAAUUGCUUUUGGCGUGGCCAUGCCGGUGGCCCUCACAGCAACCAGCACCAGAUGAAGGAGCAUUCCUCUUGGGUAACUGCUUUGUGUUUCAUCUGUGUCCCUGAGUGUUAAUCUGUUUGAUCAGUAACAGCACCUGGACCAGUUUCCUCAUGGAUGCCUCCCAAAUAAGGAUGUGGUAUAGUAAAAUCUUAACACUAACAUUUAUGCCAGAAUUGCAAAAAUGUGCUUCCUCACUUGAUUUUAAAAGCAGAAUUUUAAAAAAUUCCAGGAAAUAAAGAUACUACAUUUGAAAUGGUCUCUUUUAUUCAGUAAAAUGGAAUGUUGCAAUGCUCUCUUUCCAAAG